This 472-nucleotide ribosomal RNA is filed under the name uncultured bacterium. Its description in RNAcentral is "partial 16S ribosomal RNA". It matches the Rfam family "Bacterial small subunit ribosomal RNA", at positions 28 to 507 of the family's 1533-position model. The record is from RNAcentral.
GACGAACGCUGGCGGCGUGCUUAACACAUGCAAGUCGAACGCUGAAGCUUGGUGCUUGCACUGGGUGGAUGAGUGGCGAACGGGUGAGUAAUACGUGAGUAACCUGCCCUUGACUCUGGGAUAAGCCUGGGAAACUGGGUCCAAUACUGGAUACGACAUGUCACCGCAUGGUGGUGUGUGGAAAGGGUUUUACUGGUUUUGGAUGGGCUCACGGCCUAUCAGCUUGUUGGUGGGGUAAUGGCUCACCAAGGCGACGACGGGUAGCCGGCCUGAGAGGGUGACCCGCCACACUGGGACUGAGACCCGGCCCAGACUCCUACGGGAGGCAGCAGUGGGGAAUAUUGCACAAUGGGCGGAAGCCUGAUGCAGCGACGCCGCGUGAGGGAUGACGGCCUUCGGGUUGUAAACCUCUUUCAGCACGGAAGAAGCGAAAGUGACGGUACGUGCAGAAGAAGCGCCGGCUAACUACGUG